AUUGAACGCUGGCGGCAGGCUUAACACAUGCAAGUCGAGCGGAGUGAUGGUGCUUGCACUAUCACUUAGCGGCGGACGGGUGAGUAAUGCUUAGGAAUCUGCCUAUUAGUGGGGGACAACAUCUCGAAAGGGAUGCUAAUACCGCAUACGUCCUACGGGAGAAAGCAGGGGAUCACUUGUGACCUUGCGCUAAUAGAUGAGCCUAAGUCGGAUUAGCUAGUUGGUGGGGUAAAGGCCUACCAAGGCGACGAUCUGUAGCGGGUCUGAGAGGAGGGUCCGCCACACUGGGACUGGGCCACGGCCCGGACUCCUACGGGAGGCAGCAGUGGGGAAUAUUGGACAAUGGGGGGAACCCUGAUCCAGCCAUGCCGCGUGUGUGAAGAAGGCCUUAUGGUUGUAAAGCACUUUACGCGAGGAGGAGGCUCUUUUGGUUAAUGCCCAAGAUGAGUGGACGUUACUCGCAGAAUAAGCACCGGCUAACUCUGUGCCAGCCGCCGCCGUAA
Molecule: ribosomal RNA, 503 nt
Filed under: uncultured bacterium
Lineage: Bacteria
Description: partial 16S ribosomal RNA
Rfam family: Bacterial small subunit ribosomal RNA
Source: RNAcentral